This 1935-nucleotide long non-coding RNA is filed under the name Daphnia magna. RNAcentral's name for it is "uncharacterized LOC123475781, transcript variant X11". Lineage: Eukaryota; Metazoa; Arthropoda; Branchiopoda; Diplostraca; Daphniidae. The record is from RNAcentral.
AUAUUCAGAACAGCAGACGAUCUAACUUCGUUGAAAUGUCAAGUCACUAUUGGUAGACAAAAAGUUUCUUUAGCUAUCUUUCAACAAUCUGUAAAAUAACUUAGAUAGUGUUCUAAAGCACUCUUCCCUUCUACGUUUCAAUUCACCGUGUCUGCGCAUUCUCUCUAAAUUCAGUUUGUCACCCUACUUGAUAGCUUGUGUUUAUUGACUAAGCUGGAAAAUUGUGCAUACGACGAUGACCAAGGGACUGAUAAUUCAUACUGCUCUAUGAUGCCUUGAAAGUUCAGCUGUAUAAAACAUUGGCUAAUGGGGAUGCUGAGAUACUUUCUCCAUUGGAAUUGUCAUCUCUUCUAGUCCCAGAGGAAUGCAAAAAAAAAAAAAAAAUACUAUAAAUUAUCUCUUUCAUCUCCUCAAUCAGAAUUUAACAAAUUGUCCUUGACAGCAGGUAUAUGAAAUGCUAAUGCUUUUAAUAUUUUUAGGUUGAUUAUGAGAAGCCCUCUUCCGUCAUCCGAUCCAUUGACGACAUUUCGAUUCGUCAAUAUGGUUUACCAUGGAGAAGGCCGGAUUGUCUUUCACAACACUGUGUUCUGUAGAUUUACGAUAUUAAAACGAUACUAAGAACAUAGGUUUGUUAAUUAUUCUAUUAUACCUCAACUUUUUAUUACUGCAGACUGGUGCCACCAAGCGGAUUAGCUCCAGUCAGGCUUCAGCAAUCAGCAUACUCCCACAAAUUUAGCAUGUCGAUGUUUCUCCCAUCAUUCUCCUUCAUGAUAGAACUGAUACUUUGAAGAGUAUGGAUCUCUGCAAAAGAAGUUAAUUUAGUUAAAUAUGAUUUGAUACUGGAUAAUUGUAGAUAUGAACGAAUUUUUGUUGUUCAAACCAAAAACAUCAGUGGAAGCACAGGCCUGUGGUAGCAGCAAUGGCAAAAAAAAUGUUUUUUCGUAACUCAGUGUUGUGUGAAAAUUGGGAACAGUGGAUUUUCCAGGAGAACAUUUAUAAUUCAAACUAUUUUUGUUAGUGGCAAGCAUGUGAAAAUAUCUAUAUUUAAUAGUGAAAAGGAAGCAUUAAUAAAUGCUUGGACGAAUGAGAAUUUAUUUGUUAACCAACAUUGCUGCCAAAGGAAUUUUGUCACAUAAAGUAGAUGGCAGUGCACAUGUAGAUAGCAGUGCAUCUAAGAUUUUUUGGUCCCGAUCUAGUGGAAUUUACAUUCGUCUGAAGUGUGCCAUCGCCAUUGUGAACGAAGCAUGGGUCACUACAAAUCAUCUUCUGAUACGUUGUCCGGUUUUUAAAAAUCUUUUAUUACUUUAAUAUGUCUUUUUGUAAUUCCUUGGGCAUUAACACUCUCUAAUCAACAAAGAAACUGCUUUUCUCAUGUUACUUUUACCAAUUUUUUUAUACUCGUACAUUUAGUUGAUUAUAGAAAACAUCUUGACAUUCACACGAAUGCCUUUGUCUUAUCUGAUCGUGUUAACAUGCUGAUUCGUUCUUGCCACUGGCCGAAGCCAUUUUGUCAAAUUUUGCAUCUUUCCAAAAUUUAAUCACACACAAGCAUUCUGGCAUGUGUCAGGCAACGGGUUACAGGAAUGGCAUGGUCCCCUUUUGGUGUUGAGCCUGGCCUACACCCUCGGUUAUUGAAAAUGGUGUUGGAACAAGUAAUUACAUGGAGCUGGAGCGUCAAUUUGGGACUUGAUUUGUCAUCUGUUGGUUGACGUAGGAAAACACAGAUUGAACCCACCAUUUUAUUCCCACACUUAUCAUUGGAAUUCUGGGAUGGUAGCUGUUGUUGCAGGACACUCCUUGGUUCAUUAGUGAGGUUCCAGAAAGCAGCAUUCCAAGAGCAAGAAUACAAUUUGCCGGCUGUCAACACAAUAUAGAUUGUUUAACUUUGUUUUCUUGCCUUGGUGGUGAAAUUGAAUUAUAUUGAGAUUUAAAACA